UAUAAUCACUAGGCUAACGGUUCUAGCGGGGAUCAGCUGCUAGAAGCAAUGGGGAAAGUGCAGUGUAAGUCUGCCGCUGUCCCGCAACUGUAAUGAGACUAUUGGUCUCUGAGUCAGGACGCCCACCGUUAUCCCGUCAAAACA
This 144-nucleotide non-coding RNA is filed under the name Synechococcus elongatus PCC 7942 = FACHB-805. The record is from RNAcentral. Lineage: Bacteria; Bacillati; Cyanobacteriota; Cyanophyceae; Synechococcales; Synechococcaceae. RNAcentral also lists the same sequence under 1 other name.